This 439-nucleotide ribosomal RNA is filed under the name uncultured bacterium. Its description in RNAcentral is "bacterial SSU rRNA". It matches the Rfam family "Bacterial small subunit ribosomal RNA", at positions 958 to 1398 of the family's 1533-position model. The record is from RNAcentral.
AACGCGAAGAACCUUACCUACUCUUGAAUCCACGGAAUCUGUCAGAAAUGAUGGAGUGCCUUCGGGACCCGUGAGACAGGUGCUGCAUGGCUGUCGUCAGCUCGUGUCGUGAGAUGUUGGGUUAAGUCCCGUAACGAGCGCAACCCUUGUCCUUAGUUACCAGCGAGUAAAGUCGGGGACUUUAAGGAGACUGCCGGUGAUAAACCGGAGGAAGGUGGGGAUGACGUCAAGUCCUCAUGGCCCUUACGAGUAGGGCUACACACGUGCUACAAUGGCCGGUACAAAGGGAAGCCAACCUGCAAAGGGGAGCAAACCUCAAAAAGCCGGUCGUAGUCCGGAUUGGAGUCUGCAACUCGACUCCAUGAAGUUGGAAUCGCUAGUAAUCGCGGAUCAGCACGCCGCGGUGAAUACGUUCCCGGGCCUUGUACACACCGGAGUA